GCCGAGCGGUAGAGUUCCUUCGGGACUUGAGAGCGGCGUACGGGUGAGGAACACGUGUGCAACCUGCCUUUAUCUGGGAGAUAGCCCUCCGAAAGGGGGAUUAAUAUUCCAUAAUAUAUCAUUUGGCAUCAAUUGAUAUUGAAAGCUCCGGCGGAUAGAGAUGGGCACGCGCAAGAUUAGAUAGUUGGUGAGGUAACGGCUCACCAAGUCUGCGAUCUUUAGGGGGCCUGAGAGGGUGAUCCCCCACACUGGUACUGAGACACGGACCAGACUCCUACGGGAGGCAGCAGUGAGGAAUAUUGGACAAUGGGUGCAAGCCUGAUCCAGCCAUCCCGCGUGAAGGAUUAAGGUCCUAUGGAUUGUAAACUUCUUUUAUACAGGGAUAAACCUACUUACGUGUAAGUAGCUGAAGGUACUGUAUGAAUAAGCACCGGCUAACUCCGUGCCAGCAGCCGCGGUAAUACGGAGGGUGCAAGCGUUAUCCGGAUUUAUUGGGUUUAAAGGGUCCGUAGGCGGGCUCGUAAGUCAGUGGUGAAAGCCUGCAGCUUAACUGUAGAACUGCCGUUGAUACUGCGAGUCUUGAGUAAAUUUGAAGUGGCUGGAAUAAGUAGUGUAGCGGUGAAAUGCAUAGAUAUUACUUAGAACACCAAUUGCGAAGGCAGGUCACUAAGAUUUAACUGACGCUGAUGGACGAAAGCGUGGGGAGCGAACAGGAUUAGAUACCCUGGUAGUCCACGCCGUAAACGAUGCUAACUCGUUUUUGGGCUUUCGGGCUCAGAGACCAAGCGAAAGUGAUAAGUUAGCCACCUGGGGGAGUACGUUCGCAAGAAUGAAACUCAAAGGAAUUGACGGGGGCCCGCACAAGCGGUGGAUUAUGUGGUUUAAUUCGAUGAUACGCGAGGAACCUUACCAAGACUUAAAUGGGAGUGGACAGGCUUAGAAAUAGGCCCUCCUUCGGGCCGCUUCCAAGGUGCUGCAUGGUUGUCGUCAGCUCCUG
RNAcentral lists this ribosomal RNA (997 nucleotides) under Chryseobacterium taklimakanense. RNAcentral's name for it is "bacterial SSU rRNA". It matches the Rfam family "Bacterial small subunit ribosomal RNA", at positions 61 to 1064 of the family's 1533-position model. The record is from RNAcentral. Lineage: Bacteria; Pseudomonadati; Bacteroidota; Flavobacteriia; Flavobacteriales; Weeksellaceae.